Molecule: ribosomal RNA, 465 nt
Filed under: Vreelandella stevensii
Lineage: Bacteria; Pseudomonadati; Pseudomonadota; Gammaproteobacteria; Oceanospirillales; Halomonadaceae
Description: partial 16S ribosomal RNA
Rfam family: Bacterial small subunit ribosomal RNA
Source: RNAcentral
CCUACGGGGGGCAGCAGUGGGGAAUAUUGGACAAUGGGCGAAAGCCUGAUCCAGCCAUGCCGCGUGUGUGAAGAAGGCCUUCGGGUUGUAAAGCACUUUCAGUGGGGAAGAAAGCCUUGGGGCUAAUACCCUCGAGGAAGGACAUCACCCACAGAAGAAGCACCGGCUAACUCCGUGCCAGCAGCCGCGGUAAUACGGAGGGUGCGAGCGUUAAUCGGAAUUACUGGGCGUAAAGCGCGCGUAGGCGGUCUGAUAAGCCGGUUGUGAAAGCCCCGGGCUCAACCUGGGAACGGCAUCCGGAACUGUCAGGCUAGAGUGCAGGAGAGGAAGGUAGAAUUCCCGGUGUAGCGGUGAAAUGCGUAGAUAUCGGGAGGAAUACCAGUGGCGAAGGCGGCCUUCUGGACUGACACUGACGCUGAGGUGCGAAAGCGUGGGUAGCAAACAGGAUUAGAUACCCGAGUAGUC